This 465-nucleotide ribosomal RNA is filed under the name Vreelandella stevensii. RNAcentral's name for it is "partial 16S ribosomal RNA". It matches the Rfam family "Bacterial small subunit ribosomal RNA", at positions 338 to 795 of the family's 1533-position model. Lineage: Bacteria; Pseudomonadati; Pseudomonadota; Gammaproteobacteria; Oceanospirillales; Halomonadaceae. The record is from RNAcentral.
CCUACGGGGGGCUGCAGUGGGGAAUAUUGGACAAUGGGGGCAACCCUGAUCCAGCCAUGCCGCGUGUGUGAAGAAGGCCCUCGGGUUGUAAAGCACUUUCAGUGAGGAAGAACGCCUGGUGGUUAAUACCCAUCAGGAAAGACAUCACUCACAGAAGAAGCACCGGCUAACUCCGUGUCAGCAGCCGCGGUAAUACGGAGGGUGCGAGCGUUAAUCGGAAUUACUGGGCGUAAAGCGCGCGUAGGUGGCUUGAUAAGCCGGUUGUGAAAGCCCCGGGCUCAACCUGGGAACGGCAUCCGGAACUGUCAAGCUAGAGUGCAGGAGAGGAAGGUAGAAUUCCCGGUGUAGCGGUGAAAUGCGUAGAGAUCGGGAGGAAUACCAGUGGCGAAGGCGGCCUUCUGGACUGACACUGACACUGAGGUGCGAAAGCGUGGGUAGCAAACAGGAUUAGAUACCCUUGUAGUC